RNAcentral lists this transfer RNA (69 nucleotides) under Capra hircus (goat). It matches the Rfam family "tRNA". Rfam says of the family: Transfer RNA (tRNA) molecules are approximately 80 nucleotides in length. Their secondary structure includes four short double-helical elements and three loops (D, anti-codon, and T loops). The record is from Rfam by way of RNAcentral. RNAcentral also lists the same sequence under 1 other name. Lineage: Eukaryota; Metazoa; Chordata; Mammalia; Artiodactyla; Bovidae.
CAACUGGUGGCUCAGAUGGUAAAGAAUCUGCCUGCAAUGCAGGAGACCCUGGUUCAAUUCCUGGGUUGG